RNAcentral lists this long non-coding RNA (1040 nucleotides) under Anolis carolinensis (green anole). RNAcentral describes it as "lncRNA (ENSACAG00000041444.1)". Lineage: Eukaryota; Metazoa; Chordata; Lepidosauria; Squamata; Anolidae. The record is from RNAcentral.
AUGCACUUUGAUGCUAAGGCUUUUGGGUUGCAUAAAUGCAUUAUUAUUAUCAUUAUUAUUGUUAUUAUUAUUAUGUUUUGGUUUCUACCAUUGCUCAUAUCCUGGAGUAAUCAGUUCCAAAGGCUCAGUGUUUUCAGUGCAAAACCAUCUUUAACUCAUUUGGAACAUGUCAUCUUCUUUGGGCUUAUUUCCCUUCAAGCCAAGUAAACAGCUAUCCCUGUUCUAUACUUUUAAUUUUUGACACAAAAUACUCUCUUUCAUUAAUCAUCUCUCGUGCAAAAAUCAAGUUGGGGAAAGUUUAUUUUCUUCUCUUUGCAUCAGUCCUUCUCUUCUUUCUAAACAUUGGGAGCAUUCAACUAUAGUAAAUAGAAUUUACUUCCAAAUAUGUGUGCCUAAAACACUGCCUGAUUCUCUCUCUCCCUUUUUCUCCCCAAGCCAUUUUUUGGUGUUAAUUAUGUUUUUCAUGUGAAUCCAAUAAUCUUCUUGGCAUGACUUGCCAUUGGGGUGGGUCUACACAUUAAAGGAUCCACACAUCUUGCCAAGACGGGCAAUAUUUAUAGAAAGCAUGAUUACAAUUCCUGCAUGUUGGGACAGUACCCUGAUUUGGGCUGUUUGAGAUGUGAGAUGCGCUGAUGGGCAUCUCUCUUUCUCUCAUGCUCACAACUCAGCAUGAAGUUUCACCCAGGAACAGGGCACGAAAACUAUUGUUCUUGUGUUUCCAGAUGAGCACACAGGACAGAAGAAACCCGGUCCCUCGUGUCCUACUUGGCACAACCAGGCAUGUCGGCUGCUGAUCAAUGAUUGAUUGAUAGGAGCAGAGGCAGGCACCAACCAGCUGGAUGAAUCACCAUGAUGAAGGGUGUGCUUCUUUCCUUUCUCUCCCACAUGCCAUUCAAAAGCUGCUGAAGAAGAAUGGCAAUUUUGAGUCUCUUUGGAAAAGAGUUUACAUCUUCUAAGCUACCCCCUCCCCCUGCUCCACACCCCCAUUCGUCUGCAGCCAUGAGGCAUUCCCAUGAUAACCAUCUGGCAGACUGAAGCGC